UCCGAGUUGACCCCGGCAGUCUCCUGCGAGUGCUUGGCAUUACCCAGUGGCAACACAGGACAAGGGUUGCGCUCGUUGCGGGACUUAACCCAACAUCUCACGACACGAGCUGACGACAGCCAUGCACCACCUGUGACAGUGUCCCGAAGGAAAAGUGUGUUUCCACGGCGGUCACCUACAUGUCAAGCCCAGGUAAGGUUCUUCGCGUUGCGUCGAAUUAAUCCACAUCAUCCACCGCUUGUGCGGGUCCCCGUCAAUUCCUUUGAGUUUUAAUCUUGCGACCGUACUCCCCAGGCGGUCGACUUCACGCGUUAGCUGCGGUACUAAGGAAGUCUCCUUCCCCAACACCUAGUCGACAUCGUUUAGGGCGUGGACUAC
This 378-nucleotide unclassified non-coding RNA is filed under the name uncultured Pseudomonadota bacterium. Its description in RNAcentral is "uncultured proteobacterium contains 16S-23S intergenic spacer region". Lineage: Bacteria; Pseudomonadati; Pseudomonadota. The record is from RNAcentral.